This 959-nucleotide ribosomal RNA is filed under the name Leptobrachium hendricksoni (spotted litter frog). RNAcentral describes it as "partial 16S ribosomal RNA". It matches the Rfam family "Bacterial large subunit ribosomal RNA", at positions 931 to 2540 of the family's 2925-position model. Lineage: Eukaryota; Metazoa; Chordata; Amphibia; Anura; Megophryidae. The record is from RNAcentral.
AUAUUCUAGCAAAGCCAAGUAAAUCUAAUUUUUAAGAAUUAUUCAAUAAAGGUACAGCUUUAUUGAAAAAGGAAACAACCUAAACCUUAGGAUAAUGAAUAUUUUUAAAUAGGUAAAAGGCCAAGUUGGCCUAAAAGCAGCCAUCUUUAAAGAUAGCGUCAAAGCUUCACCUUAAACACACCUUAAAUCUCAUUAUUUUUUUCAUAAUCCAACAAUUCUACUAAGCCAUUCUAUACUUUUAUAGAAAAGUUUAUGUUAGGACUAGUAACACAGAAUAAUUUCUCUUACAUGUAAGUUUAAAUCAACCCGAAUACCUCCUUGAUAAUUACUCAAAUUUGAACCUUAAGUAGUACCUAUCAAUUACAAAAACCCUACUUAACUUAUUGUUAAUCAAACAUAUGGAUAUGAAAGAAAGAUUAAAAAAUUAAGAAGGAACUCGGCAAACACAAGUCCCGCCUGUUUACCAAAAACAUCGCCUUUUGAAAAGUAUAAAAGGUAACGCCUGCCCACUGACAAUAUGUUUAACGGCCGCGGUAUUCUGACCGUGCGAAGGUAGCGUAAUCACUUGUCUUUUAAAUGAAGACUCGUAUGAAAGGCAUCACGAGAACUUAGCUGUCUCCUUAAUUCAAUCAGUGAAACUGAUAUCCCUGUAAAAAAGCAGGGAUGAUAACAUAAGACGAGAAGACCCUGUGGAGCUUAAAACAUAAACUACUUCUAUACUCUACUAACUUAUAGUACUAAAAUACAAACCUAGCCUAAGUUUUCUGUUGGGGCGGCUGUGGAGAAAAACUUAUCCUCCAUGAAGAAAAAACUUUGAUCUACCGCUCUUAGUAUUAGCAAGCCUAACUUAAAUUGAUCCAAUUUUUGAUCAACGGACCAAGUUACCCCAGGGAUAACAGCGCAAUCCAUUUCAAGAGUCCCUAUCGACAAAUGGGUUUACGACCUCGAUGUUGGAUUAG